CACUGUAAAGAAGAUGGAGUUUCGGUGGAGAAAAAGCAAAAAGAGAAAUGAAAGGGAUAUCGAAAUUUGAGUUGCACUGGGCGGCAGAGGCACCUUCCUGUCAAGAGCAGGGGUUGAGCCACACACAUCACAAUUGAGGGAUAAAAAAGAGAGGUGAUGAUGAUUGGAGAGGAGGAAAGACGAGCUUGGAUUCAAUAGCUAUUGCGUCUUGUUCCCAGAUUCUUAUUGGUCAGCGCUUGCGCACUUUGAAUUACAGUUGGUUAGAAAAAAAAAUGUUCAUCUCUAUGGCAUGCAGGGCGUUGUUCGUAAUGCUUCCUGUUUUUUUUUUUUAUUAUUAUUAUUAUUUUAUUUUAUCAGGAUCAUCAAUUUCCAACUGAUUUGGAUGAACACACUAUGUAUAUAUGGAUUGUGUUGCUCUUGAUAUUUUAGUUAAUGAAAGCAAAUAUAGACCCCUGAUAAUGUGCUUUGCUGAA
Molecule: long non-coding RNA, 473 nt
Organism: Populus nigra (black poplar)
Lineage: Eukaryota; Viridiplantae; Streptophyta; Magnoliopsida; Malpighiales; Salicaceae
Exons: 2
Source: RefSeq, a predicted model, not a curated record